RNAcentral lists this long non-coding RNA (642 nucleotides) under Helianthus annuus (common sunflower). RNAcentral's name for it is "hypothetical non coding rna". Lineage: Eukaryota; Viridiplantae; Streptophyta; Magnoliopsida; Asterales; Asteraceae. The record is from RNAcentral.
GUGCUUUUAUGGUCAUUAAUGGAAAUUAAAAUCUAAAUGAAUUUCAAAAUUAACUCACGUGAGUGUAGAAAACAAAAUAAAUCACAAUGAAAUCUCAUUAAUGCAUGUGUUUGAAGCCAUGUUUUAUGUAGUGCUGUGAGCCUGUGAGUUUCUUGAAGUCAAUUACUUUAACAUGCAGUGGGCUAAAGUGAUAUAGCCAGAUUUAUUAGUGGGCCGAUCAUUGGAGACAUCAUCACCAUAAUUCACAUGUGGGCUGGAUUUCUUGUAGCCACGUGAAUGUGCAGACUUCGUGGACUUGAGGGUUAUUUUUCUUUGAACAUCACAAAAACCACAUCUUCAACAUCAUUAAUUGGGCUGUCGGUGUUGACUUCUUGGGCUGCAUAUAUGCACGUGGAAUUGAGGGUUUGAAAAAGAGAUAUCACCAUCUCAAUAUUAAUAUAACACACACACAGGAGUCUUGAAGGCAGAGGGGACGCGCACAAGGCGGCUGUACACGGUUCAAGACAUGAUCGUCUAGGUGGCGUUCUUUAAGUGAACAAUUCGUAGGGUUUAAUACUUUUCUCAGUUUAUUUAUGUUUGGAUUUGUUUUGACAUUGACAACGUCGUAUAAACAAUUUGAUGAGUUGGUUUAUUUAUACUAUU